Molecule: ribosomal RNA, 253 nt
Filed under: uncultured bacterium
Lineage: Bacteria
Description: partial 16S ribosomal RNA
Rfam family: Bacterial small subunit ribosomal RNA
Source: RNAcentral
GACGUAGGGCGCGAGCGUUGUCCGGAAUCAUUGGGCGUAAAGGGCGCGUAGGUGGCCCGGUCAGUCCGUGGUGAAAGCCCGGGGCUCAACCCCGGAAUUGCCUUUAAGACUGCAUCGCUUGAAUCCGGGAGAGGUGAGUGGAAUUCCGAGUGUAGAGGUGAAAUUCGUAGAUAUUCGGAAGAACACCAGUGGCGAAGGCGGCUCACUGGACCGGUAUUGACGCUGAGGUGCGAAAGCGUGGGGAGCAAACAGG